AUUGAACGCUGGCGGCAGGCCUAACACAUGCAUGUCGAACGGUAACAGGAAGACGCUUGCUUCUUUGCUGACGAGUGGCGGACGGGUGAGUAAUGUCUGGGAAACUGCCUGAUGGAGGGGGAUAACUACUGGGAACGGUAGCUAAUACCGCAUAACGUCGCAAGACCAAAAAGGGGGACCUUCGGGCCUCUUGCCAUCGGAUGUGCCCAGAUGGGAUUAGCUAGUAGGUGGGGUAACGGCUCACCUAGGCGACGAUCCCUAGCUGGUCUGAGAGGAUGACCAGCCACAAUGGAACUGAGACACGGUCCAGACUCCUACGGGAGGCAGCAGUGGGGAAUAUUGCACAAUGGGCGCAAGCCUGAUGCAGCCAUGCCGCGUGUAUGAAGAAGGCCUUCGGGUUGUAAAGUACUUUCAGCGGGGAGGAAGGGAGUAAAGUUAAUACCUUUGCUCAUUGACGUUACCCGCAGAAGAAGCACCGGCUAACUCCGUG
RNAcentral lists this ribosomal RNA (490 nucleotides) under uncultured bacterium. RNAcentral describes it as "partial 16S ribosomal RNA". It matches the Rfam family "Bacterial small subunit ribosomal RNA", at positions 30 to 507 of the family's 1533-position model. The record is from RNAcentral.